Molecule: ribosomal RNA, 564 nt
Filed under: uncultured Glomeromycotina
Lineage: Eukaryota; Fungi; Glomeromycota
Description: SSU rRNA
Rfam family: Eukaryotic small subunit ribosomal RNA
Source: RNAcentral
UUGGAGGGCAAGUCUGGUGCCAGCAGCCGCGGUAAUUCCAGCUCCAAUAGCGUAUAUUUAAGUUGUUGCAGUUAAAAAGCUCGUAGUUGAAUUUCGGGAUCAAUUUAUUGGUCGUGCUAUUGUACGUACUGGUAUUAUUGAUUCCUACCUUCUGACGAACCAUGAUGUCAUUAAUUUGGUGUCAUGGGGAAUCAGGACUGUUACUUUGAAAAAAUUAGAGUGUUUAAAGCAGGCUCACGCUUGAAUACAUUAGCAUGGAACAACGAAAUAGGACGUUUGAUUCUAUUUUGUUGGUUUCUAGGAUCGACGUAAUGAUUAAUAGGGAUAGUUGGGGGCAUUAGUAUUCAAUUGUCAGAGGUGAAAUUCUUGGAUUUAUUGAAGACUAACUACUGCGAAAGCAUUUGCCAAGGAUGUUUUCAUUAAUCAAGAACGAAAGUUAGGGGAUCGAAGACGAUCAGAUACCGUCGUAGUCUUAACCAUAAACUAUGCCGACUAGGGAUCGGAUGAUGUUAAUUUUUUAAUGACUCAUUCGGCGCCUUACGGGAAACCAAAGUGUUUGGGUUC